Molecule: ribosomal RNA, 313 nt
Filed under: uncultured Bacteroidales bacterium
Lineage: Bacteria; Pseudomonadati; Bacteroidota; Bacteroidia; Bacteroidales
Description: bacterial SSU rRNA
Rfam family: Bacterial small subunit ribosomal RNA
Source: RNAcentral
GAUGAACGCUAGCGGCAGGCUUAACACAUGCAAGUCGAGGGGCAUCGCGGGUAGCAAUACCUGGCGGCGACCGGCGGAAGGGUGCGUAACACGUGAGCAACCUGCCCGUGACAGGGGGAUAAUCGCUGGAAACGGCGUCUAAUAUCCCGUAACAACAUUUUUCGCAUGGGAGAUGUUUGAAAGCUUCGGCGGUCACGGAUGGGCUCGCGGGACAUUAGCUAGACGGCGGGGCAACGGCCCACCGUGGCGACGAUGUCUAGGGGUUCUGAGAGGAAGAUCCCCCACACUGGGACUGAGACACGGCCCAGACUCC